This 446-nucleotide ribosomal RNA is filed under the name uncultured bacterium. Its description in RNAcentral is "bacterial SSU rRNA". It matches the Rfam family "Bacterial small subunit ribosomal RNA", at positions 331 to 770 of the family's 1533-position model. The record is from RNAcentral.
CCAGACUCCUACGGGAGGCAGCAGUAGGGAAUCUUCGGCAAUGGACGAAAGUCUGACCGAGCAACGCCGCGUGAGUGAAGAAGGUUUUCGGAUCGUAAGACUCUGUUGGUAGAGAAGAACGUUGGUGAGAGUGGAAAGCUCAUCAAGUGACGGUAACUACCCAGAAAGGGACGGCUAACUACGUGCCAGCAGCCGCGGUAAUACGUAGGUCCCGAGCGUUGUCCGGAUUUAUUGGGCGUAAAGCGAGCGCAGGUGGUUUAUUAAGUCUGGUGUAAAAGGCAGUGGCUCAACCAUUGUAUGCAUUGGAAACUGGUGACUUGAGUGCAGGAGAGGAGAGUGGAAUUCCAUGUGUAGCGGUGAAGUGCGUAGAUAUAUGGAGGAACACCGGUGGCGAAAGCGGCUCUCUGGCCUGUAACUGACACUGAGGCUCGAAAGCGUGGGGAGCA